CAGGCUGCAGCGGGCGGGAACGGUCUUUUCGGCGUGGUGGAGGAGGAAGACGCCUGGGUUUGCGUUGGGAACCCGGUCUGGCGCGACCGAACGGUGGGGGCCGCGGGUAGAGCAGGCCGGGGCUCUUUGUCGACUGUCCUCACGGAGUCGGCACUGAGGUCGGGCGAGGCGCGGCGGUUGGGGCUUUGGGCCCUGCUCGGGGCCUUGGCAGGCCGCGCAGGCUCCCGGUCGCUGUCGGGAGGUACCGAGGAGAAUCCGGCCAGGAAGGUCCUCUAGGUGCCUUGUGCUCCCUGCCUACAUCUCUUAGCGCGCUUAGAGGCUCUUGUCGGUCAGCCCACGGCGUGUCUUCGCACCAGUGGCUUGACACUCAACACGUGGCCUCCAAACUUAAGAUUCACAAUUGGAAAGCGCCAUACAGAAAACUGGGUAAGGCAGAGAGGAAGUGAUGGCUCAGUCAGAAGAGAACUCUGUUGACUGCAUGACACCUGAUGGAGCUGACAACACUGGAAACCACAGUGAUGACUCAUCUGAAAGCUUAUUUAAAACACAGUACAUUCCUUUACCCACACAAAAGCAAAGAAAGCCUACUGCAAAAUGUGUCAUUUCACCUGCGAACAUUGAAACCGACUCUUCAAGUGACUCCUCUAUAGAACCAAGGCCUUUGACUUUAAAGGCCAUUUUUGAAAGAUUUAAGAAAAAGAAACGGAAAAAGAGGAAAUACAAGCCAAAGUCGAGACCAAGGGAAAGACCACCUGGAAUAAAGAACACUAGAAAGCCUAGGAGGUCACAAAUAGAUGUGAAACAAAUUAAAGACAAAGGAGCUGUGCUUCCAUUCUUAGAAUCUGAAAAUGGAAGAAAACCCUUACCUUGGAAGAAAAUUUUAACAUAUGAGCAAGCUGUUGCAAGAGGAUUUUUUCACCACAUUGAAAAACUCAAGUAUGAGCACCAUCUUAAGGAAUGCUUAGAACAAAUGCAUGCUGGGGAAGAUUUAGAAAAGGAAGACUUUGACAGCCGGAGACACAAGUACAUGGAUGAUGAUGGUCCUCUUUCUCCCAUUGACGAGCCAUUAACAGAAGACGAGGCAACAAGUCCUGAGUCUGAAUGCGAUAUCAAAUUGGUUCAAAACAGUUGCUUCAUAAUAAGCUCAGAAUUUCCAAAGAGAAAUUUAGAACAAAAGAAGACUAAGAAUCUGCAUUCUCUAAAAAAAACUAAGGGUAAACAUAACCGCACAAGACAGCACACGGAACAGCCUGGAAAGGAGAUGUACAUCUGACUUAUCAAAGAAGGUAAAGAACACUCAGAAACAGUGACUUAAUAGCAAGACAUGACUACAGGUGUUUCAUUUGGCAAGUACAUGAAGAAAGGACCCGAGCCAGCUUGCGAAAGAAGCCACAGAGGACUGGGAAAGCAAAUACUUAGGAAUUUCUUUUUAGAGCUUGGAUACUGGAACAUUAAAAACAAUUGUGAUAUUGAUCUAUUGAUCCUGGAAGAAAAAUGCUAAUAGGAAAUCUGCACGUCUUUCUGAUUUCAGGAACCCCAGCCCAGUGACUGAUUCCAAACAAAGUUUUUAAAACAGAAUCAUAUCUUUGUGAGUGUUUGCAUGAAUGUGUGUAUACAUCCUAGUAUAUAUAUCAGGGCUCUUGGAAAUGGAAUUUACAAGAUGGUUAUUAACCAGCCAUCUUGUGAGGUGAGGGAUGUAAGCUAAAUCACAACCUCUAAGAAUGCUCUUCUGUGAACAAACUUUUCAUACCCUCUCUCCCAAACACAGCUCCAGGAUGCUACAACCCCUGUGUGCUAGCUUCUGACUAGGUGUGUAGUUCUUUAGUCAAAAAGAGUGUCUUCCUCUAGGAUGCUUCAUACAUCCUGUGGUCACACUGUAAAGCUGGCUUUUGUGUCAGAUUUCUAUGGCUUUGGGCAGCACUUGUAUAUGUUUUUGUUCAACUGGUGGACAAAGGCAGGUUAGACAGGUGCAAAAAUAAAUCCUCUUUUGCAACCCAGAACUCAUUGUUCAAUAUGAGUUUUGAUACAUACAAGAAGGAAUAUAUAUUUAAUUCAGCAUCAAGGGAUUAUGGUAUUGAUGAGGUUAGUUCUUCACUAUCCUGGACUUUUGAGGCAUAGGUAUCUAACAUGAUGAAUGUUUCUUUUUUAAAGGCUUUAUGAAGUCAGAAUUGAAGAUACCCAUGAAGGGAUGUGUGUUUCAAUGUAGCCCUGGUAUGCCUUCACAAUGAUUAGUAUGAUGUUAGGUAAGUCUGGUGGCACUGUAUCGUGGGGAAGUAUUGUUACAGUUCAAAUGAUGAAUUGAAACUGUUCAGCUGCUGAAUGAUACAGACAUGAACUAAAACUUAAUUCUGAUAGAACUGACUACAGCUAUUAACUCUGGACAGUGAACUUAGUUUUCAUAAAUGGAAAUCCAAUCUUAAAAUCUUAUGUACUAUUCUAGGAAUGAGUAAGCAGAACUCUUCAAACACACUGGUAAGUGAAACUGAAUCUUGUUAGUUUUUAUUGUGUUCUCAGCAAAAACAAUUGCUUUAUGUAUAGACUAGAAAAAAUGUUUCUUUGUGCUUUCGUGUCAUGCUAAGUGUCUAGAAAUGAUGUUUGAGUUCUUUAAUGAUACACUCCUGUAUUCCACUCCUGUAAUCCUAGGAGUUGGGAGCAAGGAUCAAGUUAGAGGCCAGCCUGGGGAACAGGGAAACUUGCUAAGUAGGUAACUCACUAGAUGAAGAGCUAUCUGUCCCAGAGUACCACAGUUCAGAACCAUUGCAGCCAGGCAGUCUUGAUAGCCAAACCUGGGAUCUCUGGCUUCAGUGAGAAACACUCAACCAGCAAUAUGUAUUGCAGUUCACAUAAUGCAGAUACAUUAGGCCAGUUAAUGGUUUGAUUUGGGCAAUUUUCCAGUGGGAGUGGAAUGAAGGCUCUGAGAUGGAAUGCUGCAUAAACUGGACAGCUGAAAGGCCAUCCGGCCUCCUUAACAUGUGGAAUGUUUGUAUGAUUUAGAGGAGAUAAUGAUUAGGACCGUAUCAUUAGUUUCUUCAUUAGGAACACCAGGCUUAGGAAUUAGCACUGCAUGGUAUCUGCACUCAGUAGUCCUUUCCUGCUGAUGUGUUCAAAAGACAGUGCAACAGAAAUUCACUAUCUGGCAUCGUUGGUUUCUUGGCUCUGUGCAAGAUAACCUGGUAUUUCUAAUGAUACAGUUAUUUUACACUGGAUAUGGGUGCCCUGUGGAGGUCAGAGCAAGUUUGAUUGAAAUACGGGUUCUAAGCUUGGUGGCAUUAUCACCUGCUUGAUGAAACUACUCUUUUUAUUCCUAGGGUGUCAACAAAUGAGAGGCCUGGUUUAAAAUGGUAAGGCCCCAUUUUUGUUUGCUUCUAGAUGGUUUUAUUUGAUGCAUAGUGCAUGAGACUGAGCCUCAUUCUACUUAAGGAUGGGCACUGUCAGUCAGUGUCUAGAACUGGUGAAUGUGGCUAAAUUGAGACACAGGUCAUGCUUCCAUCACAGUAGAUGCAUUACAGUGGUGACAAUGAGGCCUGUGACAUUUGCCCACUAUAAUCUUGGGUUUGAAGACAUGUUAAUAGUUCAUUUCAUAGCAGCUGGAGAGAUGGCUCAGUGGUUAAGAGCACUGCCUGUCCUGAGCUCAGUUCCCAGCAACCACAUGGUGGCUUACAACCAUCUGUAAUGAGAUCUGGUGCCCUCUUCUGGCCUGUAGGCAUACAUACAGACGGAAUACUGAGAAUACUGUAUACAUUCAUAAUACUUUCUGUGUUCAAUGUUUUAGGUUCCUAAUGUAAAUUGGUUUGAAGAAGGCACCAGAAUUGUUACGGUAAGAUGCUAGCUUGAGAUUAUAGACUGAAAUUUGCUGCUCUGGUGGAAAGACACUACCAGUAAGAGAUGAUGUUGUGAUGAUAGACAAUGUUCAACUGCUCUGAAUGGGCUGAGUGAAAUAGUCUUUCUGAACAUCAUCUAUUGGUGGGUCUCUCCAGAUUCCAUAUAUGCAUAUAUAUACACAAAGGAUCUUUGAAUCUGGUGAAUGGUGUUGGAAUGUAGCUUACAUAUGUGAGCAAGACAAUCUGGCUUCAUAGCCAGAAGCCAAACAGUUCUCCUCCUCCGAAGGGCCAUGGUUUCAGACAAUAUUUAGUGCACGGAGCAAUUUGAGAUGAGAACUUUCAACACAGAUAAUUUUGGGCAGUGGAUUUUAGGAUACUAAAUGAGUAACCUCAAUCUUUAUUAUACAUUUUUUUCCCACAGGUGAAAAACUGAAUUAGUCAUGAGUGUUCUGGCUUAAAUUCAAGGAGAGAUGAGAACAAAAGGCAAGUAGUAGUAGUCAUUUAAUGUUCUUAGUAUGUAAUGGUCAUUACCAAGGCUUUGAGAAUUCAGUUUCUUCUUUGCUGUGGACAUGACCAUAAAAAAAAAUUCCCAAUAGGUUUUCUAUGUGCUGCUUGGCUAGCAGUUAACCUGUUGGGGACAUUUUAUUCCUGAUGAGUAAAUUGUGUUAGAAUGCUCAGGUGCUGACCUCUACCUUGUUCUUGUUAUACAGGGCUAAAGAGUACAAUCAGACAGAGUGAAAGGUGCGUAUGCAAGAAACACUUCAAAGAGGGUCAUUUCAAAGAGGGCUUGUUGGAUGGUGAAACCUAAAGCUCUUUACGCUGUGACCAAAGAUUGAUGUUCUU
RNA transcript from Alexandromys fortis (reed vole), 4664 nucleotides. It is a transcript of the gene named TATA-box binding protein associated factor, RNA polymerase I subunit D, with no coding region annotated. The transcript is spliced from 7 exons. The record is from RefSeq and is a predicted model, not a curated record. Lineage: Eukaryota; Metazoa; Chordata; Mammalia; Rodentia; Cricetidae.